AAAAACAUGUUAUAUGAUGUGAAUUCAAUUAAUAAAACAAUUAUAACAUACACAUACUAAUUAAUCUAUUUAUACAUUUCUAAAAUUAAAAAUUAUACUGUAUAAAAAAAAGUAUAAUGUCAAUAGAAUAAUGUUACUUAAAUAUGUUGGUACUUUGAAGGAGUAAUUUAUGGUUCUCCAUUUCAGUAUUUUUAAAAUACAUUUACAUGCUGCGCGAAGUGCGGCUCCGUUUUCUAGUUAGAAUAUAAUAGAAGUAUUCAAUCUCUCUACAAAGCAGAAUUUGUAGUAAUGAGCCUCAAAAACAAAAUAGUCAUUUAUUCAUAACUAGAUAACGAACCGCGCUUUGCGCGGUCUUUAAACCUAUAUCUAUUCUAAAAGUGUGCCUAUAUAACUAUGAGAAAUUCGUGGGUAACUUUUUAUUUAUAUUUAAUAAAAUAAUAAAAUAAAAAUAAAAAAAUCCCAUUAAUAUUUGAACUGAUAGUUGUUGUGUUUAACAGAUUUGUUGUGAAUUUUCUGUUUAAUAGUUUAAAAUUAAUGAGAAUAUGAAUCAAGAUACUCAAGAGUGGCUCUCGUCAACUACGGAAAGGACUAUAACCAGGUUGUUGUUAUCGUUGACGUCAUUGAUCAUAACCGAGUAUGUUUUUCUGAAUUUUUUUUUCUGGUAUUUUCUGUUUUUGAAUUUAUUUUUGUAUACUUAUCUUAGGCCUUCAUUGCCUUUAAAAAUAAAUGAUCUUUUAUAGGAUUUUUGUAUUUUCAUUAGUUUGGUUGUUGUAGUUGGUGAAUAGUAACUUGAUGAAGUCUUAACUUUGAUUUAAUAGUAUGGUUAUGGAUUUUCUGACUUUGAAUUAAAAAAAAUUGAUUAACUUUAGAUAGACUCACUAUGGUAUUGAAGUAAUUAUUCCUUACCAUUUACUGCUAAAGGAAAGAGAUUAUUUUUGUUGGUAUUUUGAUAUAUUUUUUUUUUGAAUAAGCUCGAAUUAUUAAUUUGGUACCAGUGAUUGAAGAUAUUAUCUGUACAUUCUGAGAUGAUUUAGUGGCUUUUGUAGUAUUCUAUUAUCGGUGUUAAGGUUCAAUCUCCACUAAAUCAAUUUGGCUUUGAUAGCUUAUGUUUAGUGUUAAACAUUGAAAAUUACUAAACCAAUUUUAUUUUGAUUGACAAUUGCUAUUCUUUUGGCCUACAUUAAUUUUUUAUCUCCCUUGUUUUUGUGAGGUGCGCGUGAGGAGGUUAAUCCUUGUUGACUUUUUUUUUUUGGGUUCGUAAAGGCUCUUGUGGAUUCUCACGACAUGGUGAGGUCACAAAUGAACUUCAAGUUGAGGAUUUUGAUAUGUUAGAGAUGAUUCGACUUACUGUCAUCAAUAAUCUGUUAAAGUAUCAUCCUGAUUCGAAACAGCCGCUGCCCCUGAUUUCUUCUCCAUUGACGUUGCCGCAGCUGAACACUUCUACCUCCCGGUUCCAGAUUUCCACACUCUUUCUCGUGGAGCCGGGCCUAAGACAUCGACUCAUGAGGAUGAGCGGCGCCUUGAGAGUAUCUGGUUUCGUGGUAAUAUUAAAUUCAAGAGCCAUAUGAUUCAGCUCCAUAAAUAUACUACUGGAGGUAUGUAGACAAAUGCUCCAAAGUACAAUUAGGAGAAAAUGACUUGCAGGAGGUGUUCUUUAAUUGUUUGCUCCUUGUAGGGUGUUACUAUGUAUGCAUUGAUUUUUUAUUUUAUAAUGAUUUGAAGUCUUUUUGUCUUCUACUUGUUCAAUGGGACAAUCUUAGCUUUUUUUGUUGUAUUGUGCAAAUGAGGUUAUACUUGUUAUAUUCUGAUUUGGGAAGGUCUUUUUAUUCAUCAUAACUAGGCUCAUUUCUUUC
Cannabis sativa is the source of this 1853-nucleotide long non-coding RNA. RefSeq lists it as uncharacterized. The transcript is spliced from 2 exons. The record is from RefSeq and is a predicted model, not a curated record. Lineage: Eukaryota; Viridiplantae; Streptophyta; Magnoliopsida; Rosales; Cannabaceae.